GAUGAACGCUGGCGGCGUGCCUAAUACAUGCAAGUCGAGCGAAAAGACGAGGAGCUUGCUCCUUUGACGAUAGCGGAGGACGGGUGAGUAACGCGUGGAUACUCUACCUAUCAGACUGGGAUAACUUCGGGAAACCGGAGCUAAUACCGGAUAAUAUAUUGCACCGCAGGGUUCAAUAGUGAGAGACGGCUUUGCUGUCACUUAUAGAUGGAUCCGCGCCGCAUUAGCUAGUUGGUAAGGUAACGGCUUACCAAGGCAACGAUGCGUAGCCGACCUGUGAGAGUGGUCGGCCACAUGGGAGCGGGACCGCGGACCAGGCGCCUGCGAGAGGCAGCAGACGGGAACGUGCCGCAGUGGUCGAAAACCUGGCGGAGCGACGCCGCGCGAGUGGUAGAGGUCUUGGGAGCGGAAUACUCUGUUACUGGGGGAGAACAGAUGUGUAAGUAACUGUGCAGGUCUUGACGGUACCUGAUCAGGAAGCCACGGCUAACUACGUG
This 497-nucleotide ribosomal RNA is filed under the name uncultured bacterium. RNAcentral describes it as "partial 16S ribosomal RNA". It matches the Rfam family "Bacterial small subunit ribosomal RNA", at positions 28 to 507 of the family's 1533-position model. The record is from RNAcentral.